RNAcentral lists this ribosomal RNA (186 nucleotides) under uncultured bacterium. Its description in RNAcentral is "partial 16S ribosomal RNA". It matches the Rfam family "Bacterial small subunit ribosomal RNA", at positions 330 to 509 of the family's 1533-position model. The record is from RNAcentral.
AGCGCACUCCUACGGGAGCAGCAGUAGGGAAUUUUCGUCAAUGGGCGCAAGCCUGAACGAGCGAUGCCGCGUGAGUGAAGAAGGCCUUCGGGUCGUAAAGCUCUGUUGCGGGGGAAAAAAGGCAGCAUCAGGAAAUGGGUGCUGACUGAUGGUGCCCCGCCAGAAAGUCACGGCUAACUACGUGCC